GGCGAGUGAAGCGGGAAUAGCCCAGCGCUGAAUCGCGAUGCUUUUAGUAUCAGCGAAAUGUAGCGUUUAGGUGAAUCGUCGGGGCGGUCGAUCGUUGCCCAAGUCCUCCUGAACGGGGCUUUACCCAUGGCGGGUGUCAGGCCUCUGGAGGCGUCGAUCUCCGUCUCCCCGGUCUACCUUGGAGUCGGGUUGUUUGAGAAUGCAGCCCAAAGCGGGUGGUAAACUCCAUCUAAGGCUAAAUACUUGCACGAGUCCGAUAGCCAACAAGUACCGUGAGGGAAAGUUGAAAAGAACUUUGAAGAGAGAGUUCAAUAGUACGUGAAACCGUUUAGAGGUAAACUGGUGAAGUCGUAAAGUGGCCGAGAUAGAUUCAACCGUUCGAGCGUCGGCUUUGGCAACGUGUUCCAACAGAUGCGUGAUCGCACUGGCGCUGUCAAUCGUUGGCCUUCGUCGAUCGGCGCACUUCUUUCUCGGCAGCGUCACGACCGAUUUAUUGCUGGUCAAAAGCUCCGUUGGAAGGUGACUCUCGCCCCGGCGGGAGAGUUAUAGCCAACGACAGCGUCGUCCAGCGAGAGAUCGAGGAAUGGCCGUACCCGCUCUUACGAGCACGGGCCCUCGUUCCUCGCUCGCCGUUCAACUGGGCUGGACUGUCUACAGUGCUGUCCGACUGCGGCGGGUGUUGUGUUGCGAGUGCGCUCCCGAGUGGUACAAAAGGUCGGUGGCGAGUGGUCGGCAAUUCACCAGACCCGUCUUGAAACACGGACCAAGGAGUAUAGCGCGUAUGCGAUGUCGCAGGGCACAUACGAAACCCGAAGGCGCAAUGAAAGUAAAGGUCGGUCUCCGUUAUCGACUUAGGCGAGAUCUAGCGUCCCCGAGACGCUAGCGCAUCGCCGGCCCGUCUUGGUCUCGCCGUAGACGAGGCGGAGCACGAGCAUACGCGCUGUGACCCGAAAGAUGGUGAACUAUGC
RNAcentral lists this ribosomal RNA (968 nucleotides) under Amphiporidae environmental sample. RNAcentral's name for it is "partial large subunit ribosomal RNA". It matches the Rfam family "Eukaryotic large subunit ribosomal RNA", at positions 88 to 836 of the family's 3401-position model. The record is from RNAcentral. Lineage: Eukaryota; Metazoa; Nemertea; Enopla; Monostilifera; Amphiporidae.